RNAcentral lists this ribosomal RNA (459 nucleotides) under uncultured Tulasnellaceae. RNAcentral describes it as "LSU rRNA". It matches the Rfam family "Bacterial large subunit ribosomal RNA", at positions 1712 to 2108 of the family's 2925-position model. The record is from RNAcentral. Lineage: Eukaryota; Fungi; Basidiomycota; Agaricomycetes; Cantharellales; Tulasnellaceae.
UCUCGGCAAAUUAUCCUCAUAAGUUUGACGAUAUGAAGAACCAUUCAGUUCCUAGGUCUAGUUUAUUGUCUUUCGGGAUGAUAAGCGACUUAGAAAGCUUAGCUUUCUAUUAACUUUAGAAUUGAGUGGUGUCACAGAAUCGGAGGCCCCGACUGUUUACUUAAAACACAGACAUCUGCAACGAUUAAUUUCUUUGUAUAGGUGUUGAAUUUUGCCCGAUGCCAUUAAUAUAAGGUCGAUAAGCGCGUGCGUAUUUAUUGAUUGAAAAUCUGGUCAAUGGCGGUCUUAACUAUGAGGAUCCUAAGGUAGCAAAAUUAAUUGUCCAUUAAAUGUGGUCCUGACUGAAUAAAGUAACGAUGGUCUCGCUGUCUCUACAAGUAUCUCAGUGAAAUUGAAUUGGGCGUGCAGAUGCGCUCUGCCUCUAGGUAGACGGGAAGACCCUAUGCAGCUUCUACUGAG